GGGCCCGCACAAGCGGUGGAUUAUGUGGAUUAAUUCGAUGCAACGCGAAAAAACCUUACCUGGCCUUGACAUGUACCGAAUUUAGCAGAGAUGCUUUAGUGCUCGUAAGAGAACGGUAACACAGGUGCUGCAUGGCUGUCGUCAGCUCGUGUCGUGAGAUGUUGGUUAAGUCCCGCAACGAGCGCAACCCUUGCCAUUAAUUGCCAUCAUUUAGUUGGGCACUUUAAUGGGACUGCCGGUGACAAACCGGAGGAAGGUGGGGAUGACGUCAAGUCCUCAUGGCCCUUAUGGCCAGGGCUUCACACGUAAUACAAUGGAUGGUACAGAGGGCUGCAAUACCGCAAGGUGGAGCGAA
This 355-nucleotide ribosomal RNA is filed under the name uncultured bacterium. Its description in RNAcentral is "bacterial SSU rRNA". It matches the Rfam family "Bacterial small subunit ribosomal RNA", at positions 917 to 1271 of the family's 1533-position model. The record is from RNAcentral.